Molecule: ribosomal RNA, 811 nt
Filed under: Streptomyces sp.
Lineage: Bacteria; Bacillati; Actinomycetota; Actinomycetes; Kitasatosporales; Streptomycetaceae
Description: bacterial SSU rRNA
Rfam family: Bacterial small subunit ribosomal RNA
Source: RNAcentral
GUUAGUGGCGAACGGGUGAGUAACACGUGGGCAAUCUGCCCUUCACUCUGGGACAAGCCCUGGAAACGGGGUCUAAUACCGGAUAAUACUUUCCCUCUCAUGGGGGAAGGUUAAAAGCUCCGGCGGUGAAGGAUGAGCCCGCGGCCUAUCAGCUAGUUGGUGGGGUAAUGGCCUACCAAGGCGACGACGGGUAGCCGGCCUGAGAGGGCGACCGGCCACACUGGGACUGAGACACGGCCCAGACUCCUACGGGAGGCAGCAGUGGGGAAUAUUGCACAAUGGGCGAAAGCCUGAUGCAGCGACGCCGCGUGAGGGAUGACGGCCUUCGGGUUGUAAACCUCUUUCAGCAGGGAAGAAGCGAAAGUGACGGUACCUGCAGAAGAAGCGCCGGCUAACUACGUGCCAGCAGCCGCGGUAAUACGUAGGGCGCAAGCGUUGUCCGGAAUUAUUGGGCGUAAAGAGCUCGUAGGCGGCUUGUUGCGUCGGUUGUGAAAGCCCGGGGCUUAACCCCGGGUCUGCAGUCGAUACGGGCAGGCUAGAGUGUGGUAGGGGAGAUCGGAAUUCCUGGUGUAGCGGUGAAAUGCGCAGAUAUCAGGAGGAACACCGGUGGCGAAGGCGGAUCUCUGGGCCAUUACUGACGCUGAGGAGCGAAAGCGUGGGGAGCGAACAGGAUUAGAUACCCUGGUAGUCCACGCCGUAAACGUUGGGAACUAGGUGUUGGCGACAUUCCACGUCGUCGGUGCCGCAGCUAACGCAUUAAGUUCCCCGCCUGGGGAGUACGGCCGCAAGGCUAAACUCAAGGAAUUGACGG